RNAcentral lists this ribosomal RNA (253 nucleotides) under uncultured bacterium. Its description in RNAcentral is "partial 16S ribosomal RNA". It matches the Rfam family "Bacterial small subunit ribosomal RNA", at positions 524 to 776 of the family's 1533-position model. The record is from RNAcentral.
UACAGAGGGGGCAAGCGUUGUUCGGAAUUACUGGGCGUAAAGGGCGCGUAGGCGGCCUGCUAAGUCGAACGUGAAAUCCCCGGGCUCAACCCGGGAACUGCAUUUGUGACUGCAUGGCUAGAGUACGGCAGAGGGGGAUGGAAUUCCGCGUGUAGCAGUGAAAUGCGUAGAUAUGCGGAGGAACACCGAUGGCGAAGGCAAUCCCCUGGGCCUGUACUGACGCUCAUGCACGAAAGCGUGGGGAGCAAACAGG